Molecule: long non-coding RNA, 790 nt
Organism: Saccostrea cuccullata (small rock oyster)
Lineage: Eukaryota; Metazoa; Mollusca; Bivalvia; Ostreida; Ostreidae
Exons: 6
Source: RefSeq, a predicted model, not a curated record
AAAACAGCACCUCUCGAUUUUGUAAACAUGUUUCCACGUGGAAGGGAGUAGUUUAUGUCGGUCAAGAUUAACCCACAUACAUUGAUUUAGUAAACAAAAACACUCGCUAGAGUACAUUUUGAACAGCCAUUUCCAGGUAUGACAAAAAUAACACAAUUGACCCUAUAAGGAUAUACUCUGAAGACAGUAAUGUGAAAGUUCAAGGUUUGACUGUUGACAGUUCAGAAUUACUUUAAUGAUAAAGAAUGGGUGAAAAAAUUCUCACAUCAUGCUACAUAACAGUACAUUUCAGCUGUAACAAAACAAAUUAUCUGAUGAAAGCUUCAACCACGAGAAUCUAGGAAAGGAUGUCAAGUCCAAAGAGAAGGUAUCCAUAUAACAAAUGGUUGCUGAAUUCAUGAAGACUAGCUGGGUUGAUGCAGUACUUUUCUACUCUUAUGAACCAUAUCUAAACAUCAUUUGAGGAUCCCUUUCUCAGAAAAAAAAGAAUUUGCAUAUUCAAAGACUCUAUAGUUUAUUUGUAUGUUGUUUAACAUUCUUCUUGAGAAUUUUUCACUCAUAUGGGGAUGCCAACAUUUGCCGAUGGAGAGCUGCAAAUUUUGUCCUUUACUUGGCACACAUGGCUAAUUGACCAAUGAGGGAUCUUUUUGGUGCUAGCACCUACUGCAAAACAGGACCUCUGUAUAUACAGUCUCAUCUCUAUGUCCGACUGUGGGAUUUUGAACCAGCAAUUUAAGAAUCAACUCCUUACUCAUGAUUCUCGAGCAGACGCUCUUGCCACUGUGCCAUG